This 47-nucleotide ribosomal RNA is filed under the name Klebsiella quasipneumoniae. RNAcentral's name for it is "partial 23S rRNA. Bacterial LSU". Lineage: Bacteria; Pseudomonadati; Pseudomonadota; Gammaproteobacteria; Enterobacterales; Enterobacteriaceae. The record is from RNAcentral.
GAUGCGUUGAGCUAACCGGUACUAAUGAACCGUGAGGCUUAACCUUA